RNAcentral lists this long non-coding RNA (390 nucleotides) under Numida meleagris (helmeted guineafowl). Its description in RNAcentral is "lncRNA (ENSNMEG00000018330.1)". The record is from RNAcentral. Lineage: Eukaryota; Metazoa; Chordata; Aves; Galliformes; Numididae.
AUGCAGAUCUUCCGGGGAAAAUGUAUUUUUGAGUACUCCAGACAAUUGAAACUAGCGAGCCCACUGUCUGGAGAAAGCAUCUGUAACCGCAGCCAAAAGAGGAACAAGAUUUCCGACAUUGUUUCAAGACAUGUGUUUGAAGCAUGGGUUCCCAUCACUUUCGGAGAAGAGCUUCAGCUAGGACUGGUGUGGAUUGAGAGCCAGGAAUCCUUUCUGCCUGAGUCCUGGACUGCUGAAAAACAGCUACACCAACACCCUCACACAGGCGUACUUCUUCACAUUUAUCCUAGGUCAUCACACCUCACGGGAGGCUUCCCUGCUUUUAAUGAGCAACUCAGAAACCACAGAGAGGACUGGAGAAUGGAAGUCAUUGGACGUUCUCAUGUUUGA